RNAcentral lists this ribosomal RNA (435 nucleotides) under uncultured bacterium. RNAcentral's name for it is "partial 16S ribosomal RNA". It matches the Rfam family "Bacterial small subunit ribosomal RNA", at positions 29 to 507 of the family's 1533-position model. The record is from RNAcentral.
AACGAACGCUGGCGGCAGGCUUAACACAUGCAAGUAGAACGCAUGCGUUCGGGCAUGCGUGGCAGACGGGGGUGUAACCGGUGGAAACCUACCUCUUUGUCCGGCCUAGCACCGGGGAACUGGUGAUAAUACCGUAUGUUUCCUGAGGAUCAAAGAUUCAUCUCCAAGAGAUGGGCCCACGUCGUAUUAGCUCGUUGGUGGGGUAACGGCCUACCAAGGCUACGAUCCGUAGCUGGUCUACGAGUACGACCAGCCACAUUGGGACUGAGACACGGCCCAAACUCCUACGGGAGGCAGCAGUGGGGAAUAUUGGACGAUGGGCGCAAGCCUGAUCCAUCCAUGUCGCGUGAGUGAGUAAGGCGCUAGGAUUGUAAAGCUCUUUCGCCGGUGACGAUAAUGACGGUAACCGGAGAAGAAGCCCCGGCUAACUUCGUG